CCCUUAGAUGUUCUGGGCCGCACGCGCGCUACACUGACGAAGUCAGCGAGCAUGUCCUACGCCGACAGGUGCGGGGAAUCUUGUCAAACUUCGUCGUGAUGGGGAUUGAUUAUUGAAAUUCUUGAUCAUCAACGAGGAAUUCCUAGUAAGCGCAAGUCAGCAGCUUGCGUUGAUUACGUCCCUGCCCUUUGUACACACCGCCCGUCGCUACUACCGAUUGAAUGGUUUAGUGAGAUCUUCGGAUUGGCGCCACUGCGGAUCAGCAAUGGGCUCGGUGGAUGCCGAAAAGUUGAUCAAACUUGAUCAUUUAGAGGAAGUAAAAGUCGUAACA
Molecule: ribosomal RNA, 331 nt
Filed under: uncultured eukaryote
Lineage: Eukaryota
Description: partial 18S ribosomal RNA
Rfam family: Eukaryotic small subunit ribosomal RNA
Source: RNAcentral